This 422-nucleotide ribosomal RNA is filed under the name uncultured archaeon. Its description in RNAcentral is "partial 16S ribosomal RNA". It matches the Rfam family "Archaeal small subunit ribosomal RNA", at positions 323 to 746 of the family's 1478-position model. The record is from RNAcentral.
CUACGGGUUGCUGCAGGUAGGAAUAUUUUACAAUGCACGCAAGUGUGAUAAAUUGAGCCAGAGUGCUUUUCAUUCGAAAGGCUUUUGCCAAAUGUAAAAAGUUUGGCGAAUAAGGACUGGGUAAGACGAGUGCCAGCCGCCGCGGUAAUACUCGCGGUCCAAGUCGCAGCCAUAUUUAUUGGGUCUAAAACAUCCGUAGCUUGUUUUGUAAGUUUCUUGUGAAAUCUUAUAUCUUAAGUAUAAGGCGUGCAAGAAAUACUGCAGAACUAGAGACUGGAAGACGUAAGAAGUACGACCAAAGUAGCGGUUAAAUGUGUUAAUCUUGGUUGGACUCACAAUUAGCGAAGGCAUCUUACGAGGACAGUUCUGACAGUAAGGGAUGAAAGCUAGGGGCGCAAAAGGGAUUAGAUACCCCCGUAGUC